This 912-nucleotide ribosomal RNA is filed under the name uncultured bacterium. RNAcentral describes it as "bacterial SSU rRNA". It matches the Rfam family "Bacterial small subunit ribosomal RNA", at positions 8 to 910 of the family's 1533-position model. The record is from RNAcentral.
AGAGUUUGAUCCUGGCUCAGGACGAACGCUGGCGGCGUGCCUAAUACAUGCAAGUAGAACGCUGAAAUAAGAGCUUGCUCUUAUGGAUGAGUUGCGAACGGGUGAGUAACACGUGGGGAACCUACCUUCUAGCGGGGGAUAACACAUAGAAAUGUGUGCUAAUACCGCAUAAUAGUAUUUGAUGCAUAUCAGAUACUUGAAAGGCGCAAUUGCGUCACUAGAAGAUGGCCCCGCGGUGCAUUAGCUAGUUGGUGAGGUAACGGCUCACCAAGGCAAUGAUGCAUAGCCGACCUGAGAGGGUGAUCGGCCACACUGGGACUGAGACACGGCCCAGACUCCUACGGGAGGCAGCAGUAGGGAAUCUUCGGCAAUGGACGCAAGUCUGACCGAGCAACGCCGCGUGAGUGAAGAAGGUUUUCGGAUCGUAAAACUCUGUUGUAAGAGAAGAACGUUGAUGAGAGUGGAAAGUUCAUCAAGUGACGGUAUCUUACCAGAAAGCCACGGCUAACUACGUGCCAGCAGCCGCGGUAAUACGUAGGUGGCAAGCGUUGUCCGGAUUUAUUGGGCGUAAAGCGAGCGCAGGCGGUUGAUUAAGUCUGAUGUGAAAGCCCCCGGCUCAACCGGGGAGGGUCAUUGGAAACUGGUCAACUUGAGUGCAGAAGAGGAGAGUGGAAUUCCAUGUGUAGCGGUGAAAUGCGUAGAUAUAUGGAGGAACACCAGUGGCGAAGGCGGCUCUCUGGUCUGUAACUGACGCUGAGGCUCGAAAGCGUGGGGAGCGAACAGGAUUAGAUACCCUGGUAGUCCACGCCGUAAACGAUGAGUGCUAAGUGUUGGAGGGUUUCCGCCCUUCAGUGCUGCAGCUACGCAUAGCACUCCGCCUGGGGAGUACGACCGCAGUGAACUAAGAUGACG